This 238-nucleotide long non-coding RNA is filed under the name Elaeis guineensis (African oil palm). RNAcentral describes it as "long non-coding RNA (EGUI_LNC019110)". Lineage: Eukaryota; Viridiplantae; Streptophyta; Magnoliopsida; Arecales; Arecaceae. The record is from RNAcentral.
CUUAGGUUAUCAAUGGUCUAGAUUCAUCUGCUCCUUUUUUUUUAAUUAAUAGCUCCAAAAUAAUCAAAUUCCAUGAUGGCAUUCUAAUUCCAACUAUGGAAAGAGUCUCCCUGUCAGUGUCAUCUUAAGUAUUUGGUAUGCAAUGCCCCUACCAAUGUCCCUGUCAGUUUGAUUGAAGGGUGCUGGAGUUUGAAAUCAGAAUAGGAAUAGAUGAUUUCGAUUCUAAUUUUUUAGUUGG